AGUGAACGCUGGCGGUAGGCCUAACACAUGCAAGUCGAACGGCAGCACAGUAAGAGCUUGCUCUUACGGGUGGCGAGUGGCGGACGGGUGAGGAAUACAUCGGAAUCUACUUUUUCGUGGGGGAUAACGUAGGGAAACUUACGCUAAUACCGCAUACGACCUACGGGUGAAAGCAGGGGAUCUUCGGACCUUGCGCGAGUGAAUGAGCCGAUGUCGGAUUAGCUAGUUGGCGGGGUAAAGGCCCACCAAGGCGACGAGCCGUAGCUGGUCUGAGAGGCUGGUCAGCCACACUGGAACUGAGACACCAUCCGGACUCCUACGGGAGGCAGCAGCGGGCAAUAUUCGACAAUGGGCGCAAUCCUGAUCCAGCCAUACCGCGUAGGUGAAGAAGGCCUUCGGGUUGUAAAGCCCUUUUGUUGGGAAAGAAAAGCAGCAGGUUAAUACCCCGCUGUUCUGACGGUACCCAAAGAAUAAGCACCGGCUAACUUCGUG
This 492-nucleotide ribosomal RNA is filed under the name uncultured bacterium. RNAcentral describes it as "partial 16S ribosomal RNA". It matches the Rfam family "Bacterial small subunit ribosomal RNA", at positions 29 to 507 of the family's 1533-position model. The record is from RNAcentral.